UGGUCUGUGUGUGUGUGAAUUUCCCCAGAAACUAAGAACCAUCAUAAACCUCGCCACCUUCCACUCCAAGUGCAAGGCUCAUUUCUUUGAUGUCACCUUCUCUGACACCCA
Long non-coding RNA from Dermochelys coriacea (leatherback sea turtle), 111 nucleotides. RefSeq lists it as uncharacterized. NCBI's taxonomy places the organism in Eukaryota, Metazoa, Chordata, Testudines, Dermochelyidae. The transcript has 3 exons. The record is from RefSeq and is a predicted model, not a curated record.